GAGUUUGAUCUUGGCUCAGGAUGAACGCUGGCGGCGUGCCUAAUACAUGCAAGUCGAGCGAACGGACGAGAAGCUUGCUUCUCUGAUGUUAGCGGCGGACGGGUGAGUAACACGUGGAUAACCUACCUAUAAGACUGGGAUAACUUCGGGAAACCGGAGCUAAUACCGGAUAAUAUUUUGAACCGCAUGGUUCAAAAGUAAAAGACGGUCUUGCUGUCACUUAUAGAUGGAUCCGCGCUGCAUUAGCUAGUUGGUAAGGUAACGGCUUACCAAGGCAACGAUGCAUAGCCGACCUGAGAGGGUGACCGGCCACACUGGAACUGAGACACGGUCCAGACUCCUACGGGAGGCAGCAGUAGGGAAUCUUCCGCAAUGGGCGAAAGCCUGACGGAGCAACGCCGCGUGAGUGAUGAGGGUCUUCGGAUCGUAAAACUCUGUUAUUAGGGAAGAACAUAUGUGUAAGUAACUGUGCACAUCUUGACGGUACCUAAUCAGAAAGCCACGGCUAACUACGUGCCAG
This 520-nucleotide ribosomal RNA is filed under the name uncultured microorganism. RNAcentral's name for it is "bacterial SSU rRNA". It matches the Rfam family "Bacterial small subunit ribosomal RNA", at positions 9 to 511 of the family's 1533-position model. The record is from RNAcentral.